RNA transcript from Zingiber officinale, 1513 nucleotides. RefSeq lists it as uncharacterized. The transcript is spliced from 3 exons. The record is from RefSeq and is a predicted model, not a curated record. Lineage: Eukaryota; Viridiplantae; Streptophyta; Magnoliopsida; Zingiberales; Zingiberaceae.
UCCACUCUAUCGCACCAUGGAUUCUCUGAUUGCCUUUUGCAGCCUUUUGAAGAGCUUGAGCACUGCAGUGAGGGCGAGUGAGAGAGAGAGAGAGUGAGAGAGACAGAGAGAGCGGCCGCUUAGGAGGGGGGAGAUGCAUUCCAGGAACAGGCGCGGUGGCGGAGAUAGCUGGGCUUCGAUGGGAUUGAGGGCGGCGCUCACCUCCGCCGGAGUGGUGACGGUGGCCGUGGCUCUCCGCCUCGCUGGCCUGCCAAUCCUCUGGUUCCUAGCUGCAGAGGUCCCCCGGGUAUACGAUUCCGCUCUCGACUGGAUCCGCCCUCCCUACCUCUACCUCGUCAUCAACGGCAUCAUUAUAUCCAUCGCCGCCUCGUCCCGCUUCCAGAAGAAGACUCCAUCCUCCGAUGAUCCGCCGCAGACGCAGCAGCUCGCCGCGAUGGAUCCUGCGGAUUUGGUGGUUCAGGGGACGGAGUACGGUGCCGAGCUUGCAGACGAUGCGCAGACGCGGGAGUCGAUCUACGAUAAGGUGAAGGAGGAGGCGAAGGAUGAAGUGAUUGAGGAGGAGGAGUUCGUGAUAUCGAGGUCGAACUGGUCGCCGAAACGACGGAAGGCAUUGUUGGAGGACGUUUCGAGGGAGCCUCCUGCCUCCUCGGUGGAGAAACCGCUGGUUUCCACCCGGUUCAGCCACCGCAAGGUCGCCAAGCCCAGUCCUGAAGGGAAGGCGCUCGGAGUGGCGAGGAAGCCGAGGCGGAACGAGACAUUGGAGAGCACCUGGCGGACGAUCACUGAGGGCCGGGCGGUACCGUUCGCCCGUCACCUCAAAAAGUCCGACACAUGGGACACCCGCGGCGAACGGCAGGAGGCAGCAGCGGUGAUGAUGCGGAAGUCGGAGACUUUCAACGAGAGAGCGGCUGCGGCCUCAGCGUCGCCAGGGAGCGGGGGGUCGUCAGCGGGAAGGCUGAGGAGGGAGGCGUCGCUGGGACAUGACGAGCUGAACCGGCGAGUGGAGGCUUUCAUCAAGAAGUUUAACGAUGAGAUGAGACUGCAGCGGCAGGAGUCGCUGAGGCACUACAGGGAGAUGGUCAGCCGCGACAGCCAUUAGAGGAGAAUAAAUUGAGGAGAAGCUUCAACAUGGUCCCUUUUUCCAAGCCCUUCUUCUACAUCUUGUUAGUCUGAAACUUUCAUCGGCGUUAAUGGAGAAGGUAACAAAAUGGGACCCGGGAACUGCAAAAGUGGCAGAGGAUAUCUACCGAUUCCAUUGCCGCCCGAAGCUUCCUGAGGACGAAUGGGUAAAUGACUUCUCUGUUAUCUCAGAACUUCGGAUGGAGCUAGAGCGGACUCGAAGUUAUAUCAAUGAUCUUGAAUCUGAGCAACGGUAUGGAAACGAAAAGCUCAAUCAGUUCAUGAAGAGGCUGGCAGAAGAGAGAUAGUAAUAUGGAGGAGAAGAGAAAAUGAUAAAGCCCGCUCGGUGUUAGAACACAUUAAGGAUGAUCUUAUUAGAGAAAGGAAAAAUAGA